Molecule: long non-coding RNA, 851 nt
Filed under: Phasianus colchicus (ring-necked pheasant)
Lineage: Eukaryota; Metazoa; Chordata; Aves; Galliformes; Phasianidae
Description: lncRNA (ENSPCLG00000013697.1)
Source: RNAcentral
CCUCCAUGGGAACAGGGACAGGUGGGGACAACGAUGGGACCCCCUGUGGGGAGGGGGACACAAAUGGGGACAGUGACCCCCAUUUGCCCCUGUGCUGUCCCCCCCCCCUUCCUGUCCCUUUAGAAUAGUGACAGUCACACCCCUGUCCCCCCCCAAUCUCCCCUAUGUCCCCAUCAGGAUGGGGGUCCCCAAUGUCCCUAUUAGGGUGGGGGGUCCCCAUUGAAACGGGGGGGGGGGGGUCCCAGUGUCCCCAUCCUUGGCAGGGUCCCAAUAUCCCCCUGGGGGUCCCCAUGUCCCUAUUAGGGUGGGGGUCCCCACUAAAAUGGGGGUCCCAGUGCCCCCAUGUCCCCACUGAAAUGGGGGUCCCAGAGUUGCCAUGUCCCCCUGGGGGGUCCCCAUAUUCUCAUUAGGAUGGGGGUCCCCAAUGUCCUCAUGUUGCCCUUGGGGGUCCCCACUGAAAGGGGGAGGGGGGUCCCGGUGUCCCCAUGGGGGUCCCCAUCAGGGUGGGGGUCCCCAAUGUCCCCAUUCGAGGGAGGGUCCUAAUAUCUGCCUGGGGUCCCCAUCAGGGUGGGGGUCACCAUUAAAACAGGGGUCCCAGUGACCCCAAGCCCCCCCAGAGAUCCCCAUCCUCAUUAGGGUGGGGGUCCCCAAUGUCCUCACGUCCCCCUGGAGGUCCCCAGAGAAAUGGGGGGGGGGUCCCGGUGUCCCCAUGUCCCCCUGGGGGUCCCCAUCAGGGUGGGGGUCCCCACGCCCCCAUCACAGUGGGGGUCCCGGUUAAAAUAGGGGCCCCAACGUCCCCAUCAAUCGCAGCGAGGAUCCCGUUACCCCUCUGGGGGGGGUGGGGGGGGUCC